Molecule: ribosomal RNA, 1437 nt
Filed under: uncultured organism
Description: SSU rRNA
Rfam family: Bacterial small subunit ribosomal RNA
Source: RNAcentral
GCUUAACACAUGCAAGUCGAGGGGCAGCACAGGUAGCAAUACCGGGUGGCGACCGGCGCACGGGUGAGUAACGCGUAUGCAACUUGCCUAUCAGAGGGGGAUAACCCGGCGAAAGUCGGACUAAUACCGCAUGAAGCAGGGGCCCCGCAUGGGGAUAUUUGCUAAAGAUUCAUCGCUGAUAGAUAGGCAUGCGUUCCAUUAGGCAGUUGGCGGGGUAACGGCCCACCAAACCGACGAUGGAUAGGGGUUCUGAGAGGAAGGUCCCCCACAUUGGUACUGAGACACGGACCAAACUCCUACGGGAGGCAGCAGUGAGGAAUAUUGGUCAAUGGGCGCGAGCCUGAACCAGCCAAGUCGCGUGAGGGAUGAAGGUUCUAUGGAUCGUAAACCUCUUUUAUAAGGGAAUAAAGUGCGGGACGUGUCCCGUUUUGUAUGUACCUUAUGAAUAAGGAUCGGCUAACUCCGUGCCAGCAGCCGCGGUAAUACGGAGGAUCCGAGCGUUAUCCGGAUUUAUUGGGUUUAAAGGGUGCGUAGGCGGCCUUUUAAGUCAGCGGUGAAAGUCUGUGGCUCAACCAUAGAAUUGCCGUUGAAACUGGGGGGCUUGAGUAUGUUUGAGGCAGGCGGAAUGCGUGGUGUAGCGGUGAAAUGCAUAGAUAUCACGCAGAACCCCGAUUGCGAAGGCAGCCUGCCAAGCCAUUACUGACGCUGAUGCACGAAAGCGUGGGGAUCAAACAGGAUUAGAUACCCUGGUAGUCCACGCAGUAAACGAUGAUCACUAGCUGUUUGCGAUACACUGUAAGCGGCACAGCGAAAGCGUUAAGUGAUCCACCUGGGGAGUACGCCGGCAACGGUGAAACUCAAAGGAAUUGACGGGGGCCCGCACAAGCGGAGGAACAUGUGGUUUAAUUCGAUGAUACGCGAGGAACCUUACCCGGGUUUGAACGCAUUCGGACCGAGGUGGAAACACCUUUUCUAGCAAUAGCCGUUUGCGAGGUGCUGCAUGGUUGUCGUCAGCUCGUGCCGUGAGGUGUCGGCUUAAGUGCCAUAACGAGCGCAACCCUUGCCACUAGUUACUAACAGGUAAAGCUGAGGACUCUGGUGGGACUGCCAGCGUAAGCUGCGAGGAAGGCGGGGAUGACGUCAAAUCAGCACGGCCCUUACAUCCGGGGCGACACACGUGUUACAAUGGCGUGGACAAAGGGAAGCCACCUGGCGACAGGGAGCGAAUCCCCAAACCACGUCUCAGUUCGGAUCGGAGUCUGCAACCCGACUCCGUGAAGCUGGAUUCGCUAGUAAUCGCGCAUCAGCCAUGGCGCGGUGAAUACGUUCCCGGGCCUUGUACACACCGCCCGUCAAGCCAUGGGAGCCGGGGGUACCUGAAGUCCGUAACCGCGAGGAUCGGCCUAGGGUAAAACUGGUGACUGGGGCUAAGUCAUA